Molecule: ribosomal RNA, 641 nt
Filed under: Salmonella enterica subsp. enterica serovar Bovismorbificans
Lineage: Bacteria; Pseudomonadati; Pseudomonadota; Gammaproteobacteria; Enterobacterales; Enterobacteriaceae
Description: partial 23S ribosomal RNA
Rfam family: Bacterial large subunit ribosomal RNA
Source: RNAcentral
GGGUUGUGAGGUUAAGCGACUAAGCGUACACGGUGGAUGCCCUGGCAGUCAGAGGCGAUGAAGGGCGUGCUAAUCUGCGAUAAGCGCCGGUAAGGUGAUAUGAACCGUUAUAACCGGCGAUACCCGAAUGGGGAAACCCAGUGUGACUCGUCACACUAUCAUUAACUGAAUCCAUAGGUUAAUGAGGCGAACCGGGGGAACUGAAACAUCUAAGUACCCCGAGGAAAAGAAAUCAACCGAGAUUCCCCCAGUAGCGGCGAGCGAACGGGGAGGAGCCCAGAGCCUGAAUCAGCAUGUGUGUUAGUGGAAGCGUCUGGAAAGGCGCGCGAUACAGGGUGACAGCCCCGUACACAAAAGCGCAUGUGCUGUGAGCUCGAUGAGUAGGGCGGGACACGUGGUAUCCUGUCUGAAUAUGGGGGGACCAUCCUCCAAGGCUAAAUACUCCUGACUGACCGAUAGUGAACCAGUACCGUGAGGGAAAGGCGAAAAGAACCCCGGCGAGGGGAGUGAAAAAGAACCUGAAACCGUGUACGUACAAGCAGUGGGAGCCCCACCACUAAGCCAGUGGUGAACUCCACAUACGCAUCCUUUGCUGAGGAUACGGUUAACGGAGCGAAAGCGACGUUCAACCUCAAAAGAAG